GCUUUCCACUAGGAAUUUUGCCCACCGUCUUGGUGCGUUGGAGGAUCUCGUGCUCCGACUUGAUCUUUACAGGAAAUUGGAGAGGCACAAAGGUUGUGUGAACACCGUGAGCUUUAAUGCUGCUGGUGACAUUUUAGUGUCAGGCUCUGAUGAUAGGCGGGUGAUUCUCUGGAAUUGGGAAACCGGGCAUGUUAAGCUCUCUUUUCAGUCUGGUCACAAUAACAAUGUUUUUCAAGCUAAAAUCAUGCCUUACACAGAUGACAGAAGCCUUGUGACUUGUGCUGCGGAUGGGCAGGUGAGACAUGCUCAGAUUCUGAAUAGUGGGCGUGUGGAAACUGCACUACUUGGCAAUCAUCUAGGGCGAGCUCAUAAGUUGGCCAUUGAACCUGGUAGCCCUUAUAUGUUUUAUACUUGUGGUGAAGAUGGAUUG
Molecule: unclassified non-coding RNA, 430 nt
Filed under: Hevea brasiliensis (rubber tree)
Lineage: Eukaryota; Viridiplantae; Streptophyta; Magnoliopsida; Malpighiales; Euphorbiaceae
Source: RNAcentral